UGGGGAAUUUUGGACAAUGGGCGCAAGCCUGAUCCAGCCAUGCCGCGUGCAGGAUGAAGGCCUUCGGGUUGUAAACUGCUUUUGUACGGAACGAAAAGGUGCCUUCUAAUAAAGGGCGCUCAUGACGGUACCGUAAGAAUAAGCACCGGCUAACUACGUGCCAGCAGCCGCGGUAAUACGUAGGGUGCGAGCGUUAAUCGGAAUUACUGGGCGUAAAGCGUGCGCAGGCGGUUUUGUAAGACAGAGGUGAAAUCCCCGGGCUCAACCUGGGAACUGCCUUUGUGACUGCAAGGCUGGAGUGCGGCAGAGGGGGAUGGUAUUCCGCGUGUAGCAGUGAAAUGCGUAGAUAUGCGGAGGAACACCGAUGGCGAAGGCAAUCCCCUGGGCCUGCACUGACGCUCAUGCACGAAAGCGUGGGGAGCAAACA
RNAcentral lists this ribosomal RNA (427 nucleotides) under uncultured bacterium. RNAcentral's name for it is "bacterial SSU rRNA". It matches the Rfam family "Bacterial small subunit ribosomal RNA", at positions 355 to 774 of the family's 1533-position model. The record is from RNAcentral.